GGAUGGUCUGAGUGCAGUGGUGCUUACAACUAAUUGAUCACAACCAGUUACAGAUUCCUUUGUUCCUUCUCCACUCCCCUGCUUCACUUGACCAGCCUGAA
Molecule: Y RNA, 101 nt
Filed under: Propithecus coquereli (Coquerel's sifaka)
Lineage: Eukaryota; Metazoa; Chordata; Mammalia; Primates; Indriidae
Description: Y RNA (ENSPCOG00000003992.1)
Rfam family: Y RNA
About the family: Y RNAs are components of the Ro ribonucleoprotein particle (Ro RNP), in association with Ro60 and La proteins. The Y RNAs and Ro60 and La proteins are well conserved, but the function of the Ro RNP is not known.
Source: Rfam by way of RNAcentral